UGCGCAGGCGGCGUCGUUAGUUAGGUGUGAAAUCCCCGGGCUCAACCCGGGAACUGCACUUGAUACUGCGAUGCUAGAGUUCGGAAGAGGGUAGUGGAAUUCCCAGUGUAGAGGUGAAAUUCGUAGAUAUUGGGAAGAACACCAGUGGCGAAGGCGGCUACCUGGUCCGAUACUGACGCUGAGGCACGAAAGCGUGGGGAGCAAACAGGAUUAGAUACCCUGGUAGUCC
RNAcentral lists this ribosomal RNA (229 nucleotides) under uncultured bacterium. RNAcentral describes it as "partial 16S ribosomal RNA". It matches the Rfam family "Bacterial small subunit ribosomal RNA", at positions 568 to 796 of the family's 1533-position model. The record is from RNAcentral.